ACUUUUACUUAGCAAUAUAUGUGUGUAGUUUGUAACUUGAUUAUUUAGUUACUAGUUUUUCUCAUGUCUGUAGUUUGCAUUACUUUUACUUUUACUUAGCAAUAUAUGUGUAAAAACAACCAACAAAAUUACCUUUGACAUUAUGGACUAAAGUCAUGAAUUUGAGUUGCCCAUUUCUCCCGAAGUGUUGAUUCACUUCCGUUUCGGUUGAGAAAUGGGCAUUGCUAGGUAGAAAAAAUAGCAAAAGUCAUGCCGGAAUUUUGAAUUUUUCGGUUGCUAAUUAUUUGCCUCUUUUUAAUGAAGUGCAAAUGGGCUCCCCUUUCCCCAGCCACUGUUUUGACUGUGGGAACCCUGGUGGCAGGUGUAAGCCUAAGCAAAGGGAUUUCAAUUCCUUCAUGGCAACCAUGCCACCUUUGCCGUAUGAAUCACUGACAAUUCCAUGUUUUGCAACGCCCAAGGUUAAAUCAAUAUAUAUUGGUUCAAACAAAAUGUAUGUUAAAGAUAAAGAGUAUGGGCAUUCGUACAUUUUCAAGUUGCGUUGGGAGAAUGACAAGUUGAAGAUUUCUGGUGGGUCAUGGAAAAGGUUUAUAGAACAUUUCAACAUGAAGACGGGUGACAAGAUGAUGUUUGAGUUAAGUGAAACCCCCGCCUCACCUCUAUUGAUCACCCCAUAUGAUCCAGAAUGCAACGACACCAAAGAGAGAGUAGCCGCUGAAGAUGAUGAUGACCUUUUUGAAAGUAAAAUUUGUUGUUUACUUAGCUUUUUAUAUUUCAGAUUCUGUGACUAACGACUUUAUUUCUUCGUGUGUCUGAAGUGCAUGAUAAUCACAAUGUGGUUGUCAUAUCAAAGAAUAUAAAGCUGACUAUGGAAAAAAAAGGUUAACUGGAGAAACAAUCUUACCAAAAGGAAAGAAAGCGAGGGACCACUGCUCAUACACAAGCUGACAGUAAAAAACAUUGGACGCUGCAAGAUGAAAAUUGCAAAGAAAGCUGUUAAAUAUCUUCAUCUAAAAGAUGAAGGAGAUGUCAAGCUAGUGGGAACCAACAUUGACGAUGUGUAUGGGACCUAUAGCUUUACUGAAUCUGGAAGAAUGAUUUUGAGCAACCCGGCAUGGCACUAGUAGGGAAAAGCUCAUCUGUGGCUGAUAAAUUUUCAUAUACAACAAAAAAAAUUCAAAAAACUUUUUUUUGCAAAAAAACUCAAAAUUCCAAUUUUAAAAUUUUCACCAUUGUUGUAUUAGGUACGGGCAUGUCAGAGGAUUUCAGAUUUUGAAGAUUUUUUUCAUUUUCAAAUAAUUUUUUUAGACGUUUUUUCUGCACCGAGGGGGGGGGGGUAGGAAUAGAAUGCCCAAAUUCUACG
Molecule: long non-coding RNA, 1360 nt
Organism: Triticum aestivum (bread wheat)
Lineage: Eukaryota; Viridiplantae; Streptophyta; Magnoliopsida; Poales; Poaceae
Exons: 3
Source: RefSeq, a predicted model, not a curated record